Molecule: transfer RNA, 82 nt
Filed under: Candidatus Beckwithbacteria bacterium CG_4_10_14_0_2_um_filter_47_25
Lineage: Bacteria; Candidatus Beckwithiibacteriota
Also listed under: 3 other names
Description: tRNA-Leu
Rfam family: tRNA
About the family: Transfer RNA (tRNA) molecules are approximately 80 nucleotides in length.
Source: RNAcentral
GUCAGGGUGGCGAAACUGGUAGACGCGCAGGCCUUAGGAGUCUGUGGAGUAAUCCGUGGAGGUUCGAUUCCUCUCCCUGACA